This 491-nucleotide ribosomal RNA is filed under the name uncultured bacterium. RNAcentral describes it as "partial 16S ribosomal RNA". It matches the Rfam family "Bacterial small subunit ribosomal RNA", at positions 33 to 507 of the family's 1533-position model. The record is from RNAcentral.
AGUGACCCCUGCCGGAGGCCUUAAACAAGGAAAGUCAAACGGAACAACGUAAGAGGCUGGUUCUACGGGGGGGGAGGGGGGGGCGGGGGAGGGAUACAACGGAAACUAAUUUUUCGGGGGGGGUAAAGUAGGGAAACUUACGGCAAUAACGCAAUCGGACUAAGGGGGAAAAGAGGGGAUCUUUGGGCCUUGCGCGAUUGGAUGGGGCGAUGUCGGAUUAGCUAGUUGGCGGGGUAAAGGCCCACCAAGGCGACGAUCCGUAGCUGGUCUGAGAGGAUGAUCAGCCACACUGGAACUGAGACACGGUCCAGACUCCUACGGGAGGCAGCAGUGGGGAAUAUUGGACAAUGGGCGCAAGCCUGAUCCAGCCAUACCGCGUGGGUGAAGAAGGCCUUCGGGUUGUAAAGCCCUUUUGUUGGGAAAGAAAAGCAGCAGGUUAAUACCCCGCUGUUCUGACGGUACCCAAAGAAUAAGCACCGGCUAACUUCGUG